Oncorhynchus tshawytscha (Chinook salmon) is the source of this 394-nucleotide long non-coding RNA. The record is from Ensembl. Lineage: Eukaryota; Metazoa; Chordata; Actinopteri; Salmoniformes; Salmonidae.
UGUGGACAAGGAGCCCUCAGAGAGAGGUGGACAAGGAGCCCUCAGAGAGGUGGACAAGGAGCCCUCAGAGAGGUGGACAAGGAGCCAUCAGAGAGGUGGACAAGGAGCCAUCAGAGAGGUGGACAAGGAGCCAUCAGAGAGGUGGACAAGGAGCCCUCAGAGAGGUGGACAAGGAGCCAUCAGAGAGGUGGGCAUGGGCCCAGAGCGAGAGAGAGAUCUGUUUUUGGUGACAUCAACAACAACAAAGAAUCCCACUGCUUGUAUUCUAGCCUGCAGAGUUAUCGAUCCACAUGCCCUGCACCACCAGAUUAAUGAGGAAGGGUCCAUUACACACAAACACAUGACCACACACACACUACAUCACAGAUGAAGAUGCAAUACUUACACAAGAUAG